RNAcentral lists this ribosomal RNA (253 nucleotides) under uncultured bacterium. RNAcentral describes it as "partial 16S ribosomal RNA". It matches the Rfam family "Bacterial small subunit ribosomal RNA", at positions 524 to 776 of the family's 1533-position model. The record is from RNAcentral.
GACAGAGGGUGCAACCGUUGUUCGGAAUUACUGGGCGUAAAGCGCGUGUAGGCGGCUAUGUAAGUCGGGCGUGAAAUCCCACGGCUCAACCGUGGAAGUGCACCCGAAACUGCGUAGCUAGAGUCCUGGAGAGGAAGGUGGAAUGCUUGGUGUAGAGGUGAAAUUCAUAGAUAUCAAGCGGAACACCGGUGGCGAAGGCGGCCUUCUGGACAGUGACUGACGCUGAGACGCGAAAGCGUGGGGAGCAAACAGG